This is a long non-coding RNA of Hylaeus anthracinus, 1195 nucleotides long. RefSeq lists it as uncharacterized. Lineage: Eukaryota; Metazoa; Arthropoda; Insecta; Hymenoptera; Colletidae. The transcript is spliced from 3 exons. The record is from RefSeq and is a predicted model, not a curated record.
GCACGAUUGGUUUCGUCUCGAGUACCUUUUGAUUCUUUGCGCGCAACGUGUUUGAACGGAAAAGGAGGCAACCUCGUCGAAGGAGGCGUGGCUCUGAAUCGUGUUAACGACUCUAGCAAAAUCGUUCUCUUGUGCUCGGAACGCCAUCUUGAGAACUCAACGUGACGUUACACGACUGCGCUUGAACGAGGAACUAACGAGAUGGUACGGCGCACGAGAAUCAUUUAUUAUCGGAUAUGUUUAAGGAGUGCGAACCUGUCAACGGCAAUUCAAUUUCCGGAUUUCUGCACCGCGUAAUUCUAUAAAUGCAACAUUUGCAAGAAAUAAAAAAUACCACUUCAACAAAAAAUCACUCACUGAAACACACGUAAAAAUUCACAGUACGCUAGACGUCGCGUGUAUGCUUCUACAAGCGGCAACAUUGAACUGACCUACCAUGCCAGGAAGACAAGAGAGAGAGAAGGAGCGUGGAAGCUGGUUUUCUUUGAAAGGGCAACAAUUUAAAGGGACAUUCGAAAAGGUACAACCUACGUCCAACUAUGCGGUAUCUGAUCAUCUUUUCCCCGCGCUGUCCUCUUUGCGGGCAGUACUCGACUCUCAGAAGCUUAUAUACAUUUUUUGGCUAACAAAAGGUCGUUAAAAAUCCGUUAGAUACGGGUGUCAGAUAUGCGCAGCUCUAGUGUGCGGUUACGAGAGAAGCUCUCAAGUUAAGCUCUUUGUGCGUGAUUUGAAUGCAAUCGGAGGGAUGCCGUACGGUCGCCAUAGCAAAGGGAGAGGGGAAAAGUACGAGAUUGUUGGGCGGAGGGGUUAGCGGUGCUAAUCUCCGAUCAGUGUCGAGAGCGUAACGCGAUCCGACACGACGUGAUGUGAUCCAGACUCGAUAGGCGGCAAAUACAACCCUGCAGCAGCCUUGUGUAUAGUGUCGAGAAGGGCAAAGCUGCCGAGGCUUUACAAACCAUGCGUGACGUAUCUUACCAAAUUGAACUACUCGCACCGCGUAUUAAUGGAUGUGGACUUUACGCUAAGGUUAACGUACACUCGCGGAUUAUAAGCUUGGAGGUGUAGAAUGUGUUGUGGAAUUGUCGAAUAAAAUAGAAAAGCGCCAGCGCCAUCUGGAAGUAGUAGGUAAGAGGAGAGUUUAACCGACGAAGAGUGUUCAAGGAAAAUACUGCGUGCAAUAAACCCUUUUCUACCA